GGGGCUGUAGCUCAGUUGGGAGAGCGUUUGACUGGCAGUCAAAAGGCCGGGGGUUCGAGUCCCCCCAGCUCCACCA
Molecule: transfer RNA, 76 nt
Filed under: Chloroflexota bacterium
Lineage: Bacteria; Bacillati; Chloroflexota
Also listed under: 3 other names
Description: Chloroflexi bacterium tRNA-Ala
Rfam family: tRNA
About the family: Transfer RNA (tRNA) molecules are approximately 80 nucleotides in length.
Source: RNAcentral